Molecule: ribosomal RNA, 433 nt
Filed under: uncultured bacterium
Lineage: Bacteria
Description: partial 16S ribosomal RNA
Rfam family: Bacterial small subunit ribosomal RNA
Source: RNAcentral
AACGAACGCUGGCGGCAUGCCUAACACAUGCAAGUCGAACGAGACCUUCGGGUCUAGUGGCGCACGGGUGCGUAACGCGUGGGAACCUGCCCUUAGGUUCGGAAUAACUCCCCGAAAGGGGUGCUAAUACCGGAUAAUGUCUUCGGUCCAAAGAUUUAUCGCCUUUGGAUGGGCCCGCGUUGGAUUAGCUAGUUGGUAGGGCAAAAGCCUACCAAGGCGACGAUCCAUAGCUGGUCUGAGAGGAUGAUCAGCCACACUGGGACUGAGACACGGCCCAGACUCCUACGGGAGGCAGCAGUGGGGAAUAUUGGACAAUGGGCGAAAGCCUGAUCCAGCAAUGCCGCGUGAGUGAUGAAGGCCUUAGGGUUGUAAAGCUCUUUUACCCGGGAUGAUAAUGACAGUACCGGGAGAAUAAGCUCCGGCUAACUCCGUG